Molecule: ribosomal RNA, 389 nt
Filed under: Pseudomonas aeruginosa
Lineage: Bacteria; Pseudomonadati; Pseudomonadota; Gammaproteobacteria; Pseudomonadales; Pseudomonadaceae
Description: partial 23S ribosomal RNA
Rfam family: Bacterial large subunit ribosomal RNA
Source: RNAcentral
GCGUUCUGUAAGCCUGCGAAGGUGUGCUGUGAGGCAUGCUGGAGGUAUCAGAAGUGCGAAUGCUGACAUAAGUAACGAUAAAGCGGGUGAAAAGCCCGCUCGCCGGAAGACCAAGGGUUCCUGUCCAACGUUAAUCGGGGCAGGGUGAGUCGACCCCUAAGGCGAGGCCGAAAGGCGUAGUCGAUGGGAAACAGGUUAAUAUUCCUGUACUUGGUGUUACUGCGAAGGGGGGACGGAGAAGGCUAUGUUAGCCGGGCGACGGUUGUCCCGGUUUAAGCAUGUAGGCUGGUUAUCCAGGCAAAUCCGGAUAAUCAAGGCUGAGGUGUGAUGACGAGGCACUACGGUGCUGAAGUAACAAAUGCCCUGCUUCCAGGAAAAGCCUCUAAGCA